This 440-nucleotide ribosomal RNA is filed under the name uncultured bacterium. RNAcentral's name for it is "partial 16S ribosomal RNA". It matches the Rfam family "Bacterial small subunit ribosomal RNA", at positions 338 to 795 of the family's 1533-position model. The record is from RNAcentral.
CCUACGGGUGGCAGCAGUGGGGAAUAUUGCACAAUGGGGGAAACACUGAUGCAGCGACGCCGCGUGAGCGAUGAAGUAUUUCAGUAUGUAAAGCCCUAUCAGCCGGGAAGAAAAUGCCGGGACCUGACUAAGAAGCCCCGGCUAACUACGUGCCAGCAGCCGCGGUAAUACGCAGGGGGCAAGCGUUAUCCGGAGUUACUGGGUGUAAAGGGAGAGUAGACGGCGUUGCAAGGCAGAUGGGAACGCCCUGGGCUCAACCCCGGGACUGCAGUUGGAACUGUGCGGCGAGAGGGUGGGAGAGGCAGGCGGAAUGCCUGGGGUAGCGGUGAAAUGCGUAGAUAUUGGGAAGAACUCCAGUGGCGAAGGCGGCCUGCUGGACGAUGACUGACGUGGAGGCUCGAAAGCGUGGGGAGCAAACAGGAUUAGAUACCCCAGUAGUC